UACGAAGGGGGCUAGCGUUGUUCGGAAUCACUGGGCGUAAAGCGCACGUAGGCGGAUUUGCCAGUCAGGGGUGAAAUCCCGGGGCUCAACCUCGGAACUGCCUUUGAUACAGCAAGUCUAGAGUCCGGAAGAGGUGAGUGGAAUUCCUAGUGUAGAGGUGAAAUUCGUAGAUAUUAGGAGGAACACCAGUGGCGAAGGCGGCUCACUGGUCCGGCACUGACGCUGAGGUGCGAAAGCGUGGGGAGCAAACAGG
This 253-nucleotide ribosomal RNA is filed under the name uncultured bacterium. RNAcentral's name for it is "partial 16S ribosomal RNA". It matches the Rfam family "Bacterial small subunit ribosomal RNA", at positions 524 to 776 of the family's 1533-position model. The record is from RNAcentral. RNAcentral also lists the same sequence under 1 other name.